GCAAACUUGGUCAUUUAGAGGAAGUAAAAGUCGUAACAAGGUUUCCGUAGGUGAACCUGCGGAAGGAUCAUUAACAAAAUAUCUGGCUGGCGGUUCGCUGCCGUGCCAAUCCACCUUGCUGGGGUCUUGCCCUGGACUGCUUCAAAUCAGUCCGGAGCUAAGUGCGGUUCCUUCGAUCAACGUAACAAUUGAUCAUUUAGAGGGAGCUGCCUUGGUGCUUUGCGGCGCCAAGCCCGAAGGGACAGUGACUGAGCAUUCAUUUGCUCGGCACUAACUUUUAUAUUAUAUUAAAGUCUAAUAACAUGUCGAGAGACAACCAAUACAACUUUCAACAAUGGAUCUCUAGGCUCUUGCAUCGAUGAAGAACGCAGC
RNAcentral lists this unclassified non-coding RNA (372 nucleotides) under uncultured fungus. RNAcentral's name for it is "partial contains small subunit ribosomal RNA, internal transcribed spacer 1, and 5.8S ribosomal RNA". The stretch from base 1 to 73 matches the Rfam family "Eukaryotic small subunit ribosomal RNA", at positions 1759 to 1831 of the family's 1831-position model. Lineage: Eukaryota; Fungi. The record is from RNAcentral.